RNAcentral lists this ribosomal RNA (2526 nucleotides) under Escherichia coli. Its description in RNAcentral is "partial 23S ribosomal RNA". It matches the Rfam family "Bacterial large subunit ribosomal RNA", at positions 419 to 2925 of the family's 2925-position model. Lineage: Bacteria; Pseudomonadati; Pseudomonadota; Gammaproteobacteria; Enterobacterales; Enterobacteriaceae. The record is from RNAcentral.
GGGACACGUGGUAUCCUGUCUGAAUAUGGGGGGACCAUCCUCCAAGGCUAAAUACUCCUGACUGACCGAUAGUGAACCAGUACCGUGAGGGAAAGGCGAAAAGAACCCCGGCGAGGGGAGUGAAAAAGAACCUGAAACCGUGUACGUACAAGCAGUGGGAGCCUCUUAAUGGGGUGACUGCGUACCUUUUGUAUAAUGGGUCAGCGACUUAUAUUCUGUAGCAAGGUUAACCGAAUAGGGGAGCCGAAGGGAAACCGAGUCUUAACUGGGCGUUAAGUUGCAGGGUAUAGACCCGAAACCCGGUGAUCUAGCCAUGGGCAGGUUGAAGGUUGGGUAACACUAACUGGAGGACCGAACCGACUAAUGUUGAAAAAUUAGCGGAUGACUUGUGGCUGGGGGUGAAAGGCCAAUCAAACCGGGAGAUAGCUGGUUCUCCCCGAAAGCUAUUUAGGUAGCGCCUCGUGAAUUCAUCUCCGGGGGUAGAGCACUGUUUCGGCAAGGGGGUCAUCCCGACUUACCAACCCGAUGCAAACUGCGAAUACCGGAGAAUGUUAUCACGGGAGACACACGGCGGGUGCUAACGUCCGUCGUGAAGAGGGAAACAACCCAGACCGCCAGCUAAGGUCCCAAAGUCAUGGUUAAGUGGGAAACGAUGUGGGAAGGCCCAGACAGCCAGGAUGUUGGCUUAGAAGCAGCCAUCAUUUAAAGAAAGCGUAAUAGCUCACUGGUCGAGUCGGCCUGCGCGGAAGAUGUAACGGGGCUAAACCAUGCACCGAAGCUGCGGCAGCGACACUAUGUGUUGUUGGGUAGGGGAGCGUUCUGUAAGCCUGUGAAGGUGGCCUGUGAGGGUUGCUGGAGGUAUCAGAAGUGCGAAUGCUGACAUAAGUAACGAUAAAGCGGGUGAAAAGCCCGCUCGCCGGAAGACCAAGGGUUCCUGUCCAACGUUAAUCGGGGCAGGGUGAGUCGACCCCUAAGGCGAGGCCGAAAGGCGUAGUCGAUGGGAAACAGGUUAAUAUUCCUGUACUUGGUGUUACUGCGAAGGGGGGACGGAGAAGGCUAUGUUGGCCGGGCGACGGUUGUCCCGGUUUAAGCGUGUAGGCUGGUUUUCCAGGCAAAUCCGGAAAACCAAGGCUGAGGCGUGAUGACGAAGCACUACGGUGCUGAAGCGACAAAUGCCCUGCUUCCAGGAAAAGCCUCUAAGCAUCAGGUAACAUCAAAUCGUACCCCAAACCGACACAGGUGGUCAGGUAGAGAAUACCAAGGCGCUUGAGAGAACUCGGGUGAAGGAACUAGGCAAAAUGGUGCCGUAACUUCGGGAGAAGGCACGCUGAUAUGUAGGUGAAGCGACUUGCUCGUGGAGCUGAAAUCAGUCGAAGAUACCAGCUGGCUGCAACUGUUUAUUAAAAACACAGCACUGUGCAAACACGAAAGUGGACGUAUACGGUGUGACGCCUGCCCGGUGCCGGAAGGUUAAUUGAUGGGGUUAGCGGCAACGCGAAGCUCUUGAUCGAAGCCCCGGUAAACGGCGGCCGUAACUAUAACGGUCCUAAGGUAGCGAAAUUCCUUGUCGGGUAAGUUCCGACCUGCACGAAUGGCGUAAUGAUGGCCAGGCUGUCUCCACCCGAGACUCAGUGAAAUUGAACUCGCUGUGAAGAUGCAGUGUACCCGCGGCAAGACGGAAAGACCCCGUGAACCUUUACUAUAGCUUGACACUGAACAUUGAGCCUUGAUGUGUAGGAUAGGUGGGAGGCUUUGAAGUGUGGACGCCAGUCUGCAUGGAGCCGACCUUGAAAUACCACCCUUUAAUGUUUGAUGUUCUAACGUUGGCCCGUAAUCCGGGUUGCGGACAGUGUCUGGUGGGUAGUUUGACUGGGGCGGUCUCCUCCUAAAGAGUAACGGAGGAGCACGAAGGUUGGCUAAUCCUGGUCGGACAUCAGGAGGUUAGUGCAAUGGCAUAAGCCAGCUUGACUGCGAGCGUGACGGCGCGAGCAGGUGCGAAAGCAGGUCAUAGUGAUCCGGUGGUUCUGAAUGGAAGGGCCAUCGCUCAACGGAUAAAAGGUACUCCGGGGAUAACAGGCUGAUACCGCCCAAGAGUUCAUAUCGACGGCGGUGUUUGGCACCUCGAUGUCGGCUCAUCACAUCCUGGGGCUGAAGUAGGUCCCAAGGGUAUGGCUGUUCGCCAUUUAAAGUGGUACGCGAGCUGGGUUUAGAACGUCGUGAGACAGUUCGGUCCCUAUCUGCCGUGGGCGCUGGAGAACUGAGGGGGGCUGCUCCUAGUACGAGAGGACCGGAGUGGACGCAUCACUGGUGUUCGGGUUGUCAUGCCAAUGGCACUGCCCGGUAGCUAAAUGCGGAAGAGAUAAGUGCUGAAAGCAUCUAAGCACGAAACUUGCCCCGAGAUGAGUUCUCCCUGAGACUUAGAGUCUCCUGAAGGAACGUUGAAGACGACGACGUUGAUAGGCCGGGUGUGUAAGCGCAGCGAUGCGUUGAGCUAACCGGUACUAAUGAACCGUGAGGCUUAACCUU